Long non-coding RNA from Mandrillus leucophaeus (drill), 868 nucleotides. RefSeq lists it as uncharacterized. The transcript is spliced from 3 exons. NCBI's taxonomy places the organism in Eukaryota, Metazoa, Chordata, Mammalia, Primates, Cercopithecidae. The record is from RefSeq and is a predicted model, not a curated record.
GGCCCCGAGGGGACAAAUGAGGCCGCAUUAGCUGUUUUUGCCUCCCACGCAGCCCCGUUUUUUUGUUGUUGUUGUUCUCGUUCUCCGAGACGGGGUAUUGCUCUUGCUCUGUCAUCCGCCAGGAUGGAGUGCAGUGGCGCGAUCACGGCUCACUGCAACCUCCGCCUCCCGGGUUCAAGCAAUUCUCCUGCCUCAGUCUCCAGAGUAGCUGGGAUUACAGGCGCGCGCCACUAUACCCGGCUAAUUUUUGUAUUUUUAGUAAAGACGGGGUUUCACCAUGUUGGCCAGGCUGGUCUCGAACUCCUAACCUCAUGAUCCGUCCGCCUCGGCCUCCCAAGUGCUGGGAUUACGGGCGUGAGCCAUCGCGCCCGGCCGCAACCUUGUUUUGACUGAGUCAGUGGGAGCCAUUACUGUUCCUCCAUGUACACUGGCGUGACAAGAGUUCCGGGAUUCGCCACAGCACCGACUCGGAUACAAAUUAUCCAGUCCGCUGCAGGGACCGGUCACUGUGUCACAGGUUCUCCAGGGGGCCAGAACUAACAGGAUAUAUGUAUAUAUUGAAAGGGACUUCAUUAGGGAGAAUUGGCUCACACGGUCAUCAGGCGAAGUCCCACCACAGGCCGUCUACAAGCUGAGGAAGGAAGAAGCCAGCAUGUCUCCAAGUCCGAAAGCCUCAAAAGUUGGGAAGCCAAUGGCCAGCCUUCAGUCUGUGGCAGAAGGCCCAAGAGUCCCCAACAAACCACAGGGAGAAGUUCAGGAGUCCAAAGGCCAAAGAACCUGGAGUCUAAUGUCCAGGGACAGGAAGCAUCCACCACAGGAGAAAAUGAAAGCCAGACGACUCAGCAAGCCAGCCCCUCCCACCUUCUGC